Pantherophis guttatus is the source of this 287-nucleotide long non-coding RNA. RefSeq lists it as uncharacterized. The record is from RefSeq and is a predicted model, not a curated record. Lineage: Eukaryota; Metazoa; Chordata; Lepidosauria; Squamata; Colubridae.
GAGUCCCCGGUGCGCGUUCCCGAGCCGCGUAGUCCGACUGCGGAGCCAGAGCGGCGCCUGCGGGGACCCCAGCCUCAUCUUCCCGUGGGGUCAAGGAAGGCAGGCAGGCAGCUGGAUUUAUACGGCCGCCCAUAAGAAGCGACUCCGAGCCUCGUACAGCAAAUACAGAAACAAAAACACGCACAAAGAAACAUCAAAUGUAUUGCCUUGGAGAAAGGCUGCACCCAAAUGAGGCUGGGGGUGCUGGACUGGAACCGCCCGGCCAUCGAUUUCUACUUCCGGCGAGG